RNAcentral lists this unclassified non-coding RNA (87 nucleotides) under Pseudomonas mediterranea. The record is from RNAcentral. Lineage: Bacteria; Pseudomonadati; Pseudomonadota; Gammaproteobacteria; Pseudomonadales; Pseudomonadaceae.
GUGGGAGCAAGGCUUGCCCGCGAUAGCCUUGGCGCGGAUCACAGGUAGACCGCGUCAUCGUUCAUCGCGGGCAAGCCUUGCUCCCAC